RNAcentral lists this ribosomal RNA (225 nucleotides) under uncultured bacterium. RNAcentral describes it as "partial 16S ribosomal RNA". It matches the Rfam family "Bacterial small subunit ribosomal RNA", at positions 109 to 334 of the family's 1533-position model. The record is from RNAcentral.
AGUAACGCGUAGAUAACGUGCCCUCUUGCGGGGAAUACCGUUUCGAAAGGAACGUUAAUGCCUUAUAACAUGAGGCCGGGGCAUCCCGGUCUUAUCAAACUUCAGGGGCAAGAGGAGCGGUCUGCGUUCUAUCAGCUAGUUGGUGAGGUAAUGGCUCACCAAGGCUACGACGGAUAACUGGUCUGAGAGGAUGAUCAGUCACACUGGAACUGAGACACGGUCCAG